GCGAUAAACAAUAACAAUUAUUAUUGGCACAAAUAGUCACAUCACUGCUGAGUAACGAAUGUACCAAGAUAAGAAGUCAAGCUGUAAUUUCAGUCCUGCUAUCUUUCCAAAGAACAUGCAGCCAAGAUAACCUUACCAUUCAGCACGAUAGCCUCCUGCAAAAGCUGGGGCAGGGAGUGUUCUCACUGGGGAGGCCUCCUUUGCUCACAGGAGGUGCAAAAACAGGCAGUAAGAAGACCUACUUCAAGUCCAGGCUCCACUAACAACCAGAUUCAAAAAGAGAAUUCAUCACUUUCAAACUACUGGUUCAGGGCGCCUUGCCUCCCUCCCAAGACCAAAUGGAGCGGCAAGCCACAUACUUCAGAGUCUGACAUGAACUUACUGGAAGAUAAUCAUCACUCCAUCUGAGAAAGAUGACCGAACAAGGUAUCUACGGGAGUCACUGGAGGUAUGGACCUAAUGCUUACAACUUGGAAGCGCCAGAAAGAAAGUACAGAAGAUGCAGUGGUCAGCCCCCCACUGAUCCCAAGGACUCAAGCCAUUCACCCAAUAGAGUUUGCCCUUGUGCUCAUGAUGAAUCAUGGAACCAUCACCCUUGAAUGUGCUAUAAUUUUAAUUUUAAAGAAAUGCCCAAAGGACCAUUCAUCUCUUAGAGCACUCUUUCUUACCCACACCAUGAAGCAGUUGAUUUCUUUAUGUUCCGAUGAGUAGCCAACCUAUAAACAGGAACAUCAAGCUCUGUGAUGUCUUUUUUGCCGAGGAAUAGUGGCG
Molecule: long non-coding RNA, 771 nt
Organism: Bos taurus (domestic cattle)
Lineage: Eukaryota; Metazoa; Chordata; Mammalia; Artiodactyla; Bovidae
Source: Ensembl